This 71-nucleotide transfer RNA is filed under the name Stegodyphus mimosarum. It matches the Rfam family "tRNA". From Rfam's summary of the family: Transfer RNA (tRNA) molecules are approximately 80 nucleotides in length. Lineage: Eukaryota; Metazoa; Arthropoda; Arachnida; Araneae; Eresidae. The record is from Rfam by way of RNAcentral.
GCCUUCAUUGUGUAACGGUAGCACACUUGGCAUGCACUCAAGAGGUCUGGGUUCAAGUCUCAGCAAGGGUA